RNAcentral lists this ribosomal RNA (497 nucleotides) under uncultured bacterium. RNAcentral's name for it is "partial 16S ribosomal RNA". It matches the Rfam family "Bacterial small subunit ribosomal RNA", at positions 28 to 507 of the family's 1533-position model. The record is from RNAcentral.
GAUGAACGCUGGCGGCGUGCCUAAUACAUGCAAGUCGAGCGAACAGACGAGGAGCUUGCUCCUCUGACGUUAGCGGCGGACGGGUGAGUAACACGUGGAUAACCUACCUAUAAGACUGGGAUAACUUCGGGAAACCGGAGCUAAUACCGGAUAAUAUAUUGAACCGCAUGGUUCAAUAGUGAAAGACGGUUUUGCUGUCACUUAUAGAUGGAUCCGCUCCGCAUUAGCUAGUUGGUAAGGUAACGGCCUACCAAGGCAACGAUGCGUAGCCGACCUGAGAGGGUGAUCGGCCACACUGGAACUGAGACACGGUCCAGACUCCUACGGGAGGCAGCAGUGGGGAAUCUUCCGCAAUGGGCGAAAGCCUGACGGAGCAACGCCGCGUGGGUGAGGAAGGUCUUCGGAUCGUAAAACUCUGUUAUUAGGGAAGAACAAAUGUGUAAGUAACUAUGCACGUCUUGACGGUACCUAAUCAGAAAGCCACGGCUAACUACGUG